This 641-nucleotide long non-coding RNA is filed under the name Salmo salar (Atlantic salmon). RNAcentral describes it as "lncRNA (ENSSSAG00000108692.1)". Lineage: Eukaryota; Metazoa; Chordata; Actinopteri; Salmoniformes; Salmonidae. The record is from RNAcentral.
CAGACCUCUUGCAGCAUGAACUGACAUGUUGUCCAAUCAAAGGAUCAGAGAAUUAAUCUAGUACUGAACGCAUAAACUACAGCUAGCUAGCACUGCAGUGUAUCAAAUGUGGCGAGUAGUUGACUCAAAGAGAGUUGAACAGUUUGGAACAAAUUCAUUUCUUCCAAAAUGAAGGAGAAGCAAGAGAAAUAGAGAGAUCGUCAUAUUUUUUCACUUUCAGUUUCACUUACUUAGCUAGCAAAUGCAGCUAGCUAGUUUGACUACUGAAACACCCUACUCAAACAGAGGGCUGCUAUGUUAGCUAGCUGGCUAUGACUUUCCAACACUAGAACUCUUCCAAGUCAAGGACCAGGGCUGACUUCCUUAGUGGCUGAUGUGAUGGGUGGGGGUGGUGCUUCAAGAGGAGUGCCAUACUCGUACUCAAGGUGCACUAUGCCACCUUUCGCCAGGAUCUUCAGCGUGCAUUUUGGAGACCGGGGGUGAUUGUUUUGUGUGCAUAUUUCCGACACACAACUCAUUGAAUAACCACGGCUGCACAUGACCAAUGUGGAUUGGAGGGCAUCUUCAGGUAACUUCUUGGGGCUUUCUAGAAAUUGACAAGCAACAUAUCUGGAAUCCAGCAGCACGCUCCGACAAGGUAG